UGGGAUUGGAUCCCUUAAAAUCUGAAAAGUAUAAAAGGUGAAUAAAGGCUCGUUCACCUAUUAUGUGAUAUCUUGAAAAGAUGCAUCAAUAAGAUGAUCGCAUGUACAUUCAUUGUCAACCUGCAAUUUGACAUUCAUCAAAUUUCUUACUCAAUAAAAUUGAUUUAAAAGCAUAACUUUUAGAUUGGGAAAUAAAUACAAUCUUGAUGAUGAUUGUUUGGCAUUGAAUA
RNAcentral lists this long non-coding RNA (230 nucleotides) under Capsicum annuum. RNAcentral describes it as "long non-coding RNA (CANN_LNC011072)". Lineage: Eukaryota; Viridiplantae; Streptophyta; Magnoliopsida; Solanales; Solanaceae. The record is from RNAcentral.